UGGCGUCAGGACGAACGCUGGCGGCGUGCCUAAUACAUGCAAGUCGAGCGAAUGACAAGGAGCUUGCUCCUUGAUUAGCGGCGGACGGGUGAGUAACACGUGGGUAACCUACCCUAUAGACUGGGAUAACUUCGGGAAACCGGAGCUAAUACCGGAUAAUACUUCGAAACACAUGUUUUGAAGUUAAAAGAUGGUUUCGGCUAUCACUAUAGGAUGGACCCGCGGCGCAUUAGCUAGUUGGUGGGGUAAUGGCUCACCAAGGCAACGAUGCGUAGCCGACCUGAGAGGGUGAUCGGCCACACUGGGACUGAGACACGGCCCAGACUCCUACGGGAGGCAGCAGUAGGGAAUCUUCCACAAUGGACGAAAGUCUGAUGGAGCAACGCCGCGUGAGUGAAGAAGGAUUUCGGUUCGUAAAACUCUGUUGCAAGGGAAGAACAAGUAGCGUAGUAACUGGCGCUACCUUGACGGUACCUUGUUAGAAAGCCACGGCUAACUACGUGCCAGCCGCUGC
RNAcentral lists this ribosomal RNA (514 nucleotides) under uncultured bacterium. Its description in RNAcentral is "bacterial SSU rRNA". It matches the Rfam family "Bacterial small subunit ribosomal RNA", at positions 19 to 518 of the family's 1533-position model. The record is from RNAcentral.